CUAUGCGCCUUGCCAGCCCGCUCAGGUGUGCCAGCAGCCGCGGUAAUACAGAGGUCUCAAGCGUUGUUCGGAAUCACUGGGCGUAAAGCGUGCGUAGGCGGUUUCGUAAGUCGUGUGUGAAAGGCGGGGGCUCAACCCCCGGACUGCACAUGAUACUGCGAGACUAGAGUAAUGGAGGGGGAACCGGAGUUCUCGGUGUAGCAGUGAAAUGCGUAGAUAUCGAGAGGAACACUCGUGGCGAAGGCGGGUUCCUGGACAUUAACUGACGCUGAGGCACGAAGGCCAGGGGAGCGAAAGGG
RNAcentral lists this ribosomal RNA (299 nucleotides) under uncultured bacterium. Its description in RNAcentral is "partial 16S ribosomal RNA". It matches the Rfam family "Bacterial small subunit ribosomal RNA", at positions 475 to 776 of the family's 1533-position model. The record is from RNAcentral.